CGCGUAGGAAUCUGCCCUAAAGUGGGGGACAACCCGAGGAAACUCGGGCUAAUACCGCAUAAUUUCUGAGGAAAAAGCUUGGGAGCUGUUUACAGCCCAGGUGCUUUAGGAGGAGCCUGCGUCCGAUUAGCUUGUUGGUGGGGUAAAGGCCUACCAAGGCGACGAUCGGUAGCUGGUCUGAGAGGAUGAUCAGCCACACUGGGACUGAGACACGGCCCAGACUCCUACGGGAGGCAGCAGUGGGGAAUAUUGGACAAUGGGGGCAACCCUGAUCCAGCAAUGCCGCGUGUGUGAAGAAGG
RNAcentral lists this ribosomal RNA (300 nucleotides) under uncultured Coxiellaceae bacterium. RNAcentral describes it as "bacterial SSU rRNA". It matches the Rfam family "Bacterial small subunit ribosomal RNA", at positions 114 to 414 of the family's 1533-position model. Lineage: Bacteria; Pseudomonadati; Pseudomonadota; Gammaproteobacteria; Legionellales; Coxiellaceae. The record is from RNAcentral.